AGCUCGUGUCGUGAGAUGUUGGGUUAAGUCCCGCAACGAGCGCAACCCUUAUCUUCAGUAGCCAGCAGGUAAAGCCGGGCACUCUGGAGAGACUGCCGGGGAUAACCCGGAGGAAGGUGGGGAUGACGUCAAAUCAUCAUGCCCCUUAUGAUUUGGGCUACACACGUGCUACAAUGGCGUAAACAGAGGGAAGCGAGCCCGCGAGGGGGAGCAAAUCCCAAAAAUAACGUCCCAGUUCGGAUUGUAGUCUGCAACCCGACUACAUGAAGCUGGAAUCGCUAGUAAUCGCGGAUCAGAAUGCCGCGGUGAAUACGUUCCCGGGUCUUGUACACACCGCCCGUCACACCAUGGGAGUCGGAAAUGCCCGAAGUCUGUGACCUAACCGUAAGGGAGGAGCAGCCGAAGGCAGGUCGGAUGACUGGGGUGAAGUCGUAACAAGGUAGCCGUAUCGGAAGGUGCGGUUGGAUCACCUCC
RNAcentral lists this ribosomal RNA (474 nucleotides) under uncultured bacterium. Its description in RNAcentral is "bacterial SSU rRNA". It matches the Rfam family "Bacterial small subunit ribosomal RNA", at positions 1057 to 1530 of the family's 1533-position model. The record is from RNAcentral.